GUUGCUUACGCUACAGGCACAAAAGCAAGUGCCUGAGAUCUCGAAGACAGCAAGACGCCAAGGCAGGACGCCAACCCAGGUCUUCUCAGGAGGCCCGCGGCAUGGCGCUCGGGCCAGUGACUGCAGAGCCGGGACAAAGUGGGCACAAUUAGCUCCCCUGCGUUUGCUCAAGCUGGCUCAGCACGCCACUAGCGGAGGUGAGAGAGACCCUCCCAGGCAUCGGGGAGCAAACCAGUGGUGCCUGGGAGAGGGAAACGGGGCAGGGCCGGACCGAGGGAAGAGGGAGGUGUUCACACCAGACAACCUGGGAGUCCAGACUUGCCCAUCCAGGGCUCAGCACGCAGGCGCCGCCACUCUGAACCAAUCAGGUUCAGCCAGUUGGGUGCCCUGUCGCUAGCAGCCAAGUGCCCCUGAUGUGGUAAAUAUUUGUGAGAUGUGUUGCUAAGGUCAGCCUCCUAACAGCCCAGAGGGUGAAAGGCCCAUGGGGCAAUUUCUAGGGGAAAGUUCCCAGGAUUCCUACAGCUCUGGGGAAAGUAAGAGAAAAGCUGCUAGCUCAACAGAGCCCAGCCUUAAACCCCGCCCCACUGAUCGAAACUCGGGAAGAAAACCAGCGCCAGCCAUCUCCACCCUGCACCCCCACCCCUGUUGUGGAAUGCUCCUGGCAGCACAGGACCCACACCUCGCCCCCCACUUCGCACUCGCUGCUCUGCUGGACCCACACCCUCUCCCUGUGAACCAAACUGCAGCCCCUCUGAGGGUACCUGGGGCAGCUCCCAGCCAUGGACAGAAAGCUUAAGCCCUUCUCCAGGCUUUGAGAACACGUUGCCUCCCUGCCCCAGCCGUCCUUAUGGGGGGCAGGGGGGCUGGCAACUCCCUGCCAGAGGGGAACUGGGGCCUGGGGUGGGGGGAACAACUUCAGAGCCCACAACCAACCCCCUCCCAGGAGGCAGGCACCCCACCCAACCCUGCAUCUCCUAAGAAGGCAAAACCACAAUACAGGAGUGGGUGGGGAGGACAUCGCAGAGAGAAGGGUCACUUGGAUGCAGGGGCCAGACAUCAAGAGGGGUCCUUCCCUUCAUUUCGGGGUUCCAGAGAAGACCUCUCUUCCAGGAAGUCGUCUCGAUAGUUCACGGUGUUAUACGCAUUAACAGUAAUCAUCACUUAAUGCACAACUACUAAUGCCAAGUGCUUUGCAUAUAGGACCUCUAAUUAACCCCAUUUUAUAGACGGGGAAACUAAAGCUCGGUCAGGUUAAAUAACCUGUCCCAGAUCACACAAUCAGUGGUGACAGAGUCCGGAUUAGAACCCAGGUCUGUCUGUAAAGUCUGGACCCUUUCUUAGGCCCUGUUCUCAUCUUCCUGUCUGUUCUCAGCCAGAAUGGGCACCUCCGUUCUUCCUCCUCCUCCAAGGGGAUGGGGGUGGGGGGGGGGUACCCAAAGACAGACAGAAACAUGCUCAGACCAGACAGAACAACUAGGGGGAAUGGGGGGCUGGGCUGUUGGCAAAGACUUGCAGAGGAUGGGAGCGUGGUGGGAGCUCAGGAAGCAAGGGGGAAAGGUUGGUGAGUGGAGGGAAGCAGGGAUGAGAAGGACUCUGGCCUCUGUGACACCUGGCUGGGGAGGGUGGGCACAUGGCUGCAUGCAGGGUGGAGGACAGGGGGGAACAGAGAAGGUAAGAAUCGAGGCCAGGUGGCUGAGCCCCCAAAGUACCCGUCUCCCUGUGUCAUCACUACCCCUAAGGAGGCCUGGGCCAUCUGCCUCUUGACCCCUCCCGAGCCAGGGGUCUCAGACCCCAGGGAGCCCAGGCGCUGAGCCACUGAGCACCUUCAAAUUCUGGAAUGUGCCAGAGCUUCAUUCCUCGAGCUGCCUCGUUCCCAGCAACAGGGAGGAGCACCGGAGCCCCUGGGCUUGUGGGGAGGAGAACUCAGUGGGACUCCAGAGUAACGAUCCAAAGUGCCCAGAGAGGCAGGCCUGGAGGAGGGGUUGCCCAGGGAAAGAUUCAGGAGAGAGGGGAUCCACAGGGGCCGGAGGGAGAGGGACAGGAAGGCACGGUGAAGGGAAGAGAACAUGGGGGGAGCGGUGCCAAGAAAGCCUUGGACAGGAUCCUUGCUGAGGUGGGGCUGAGGCAAAGCACUGUGGGGGGAGGGGGGAGGGCACACCUCCCCUGGCCCCACCCCAGCCCCCUUCCAGCUUGUCCAGGCCCAGCCAAGUGCCAGGGAGAACCCGUGUCAGAAACCCAGGGAGCCAGAGCAUCAGUUCCACUCGGCCCUCCCUCUCUGGGACUCUACUCCCGGAAAGCGACCCGUGCCUCACGAAGGCGCUUUGCAAGUAGGAAGCAGAGAAACUGUAUCAAAAUCCCUUUUCCCAUUUAGCCCCCUCCCACUGGCUGCAAAUUCAAAACAUAAAAUUAAAAAAUAAAAGAAAU
Molecule: long non-coding RNA, 2424 nt
Organism: Leopardus geoffroyi (Geoffroy's cat)
Lineage: Eukaryota; Metazoa; Chordata; Mammalia; Carnivora; Felidae
Exons: 2
Source: RefSeq, a predicted model, not a curated record